UUUAAAAUAGCUAAUAGAGCUAACCCGUCUCUGUUGCAAAAGAGUGGGAUAAUUUUUAAGUAGUGGUGAAAAGCCUACCGAACUUAGAGAUAGCUGGUUACUCAGGAAAAGAAUUUUAGUUCAACCCUAAGUCUUAUUACAUUACAUUAAUAAACAAACUAGGCCUAGGAGCUAUUCAAAUAAGGCACAGCUUAUUUGAUAAAGGAGACAACCUAUAAAAAAGGGUAAAAAUUGCUACAUUAAUCAAGUGGGCCUGAAAGCAGCCAUCUUCAAGAAAGCGUUAAAGCUCCGUUUUAAACUUAACCUAAUCCCCUUGUACACCUUAAACCCUUUACCCCUACUGAGUGACUCUAUAAUUGUAUAGAAGCCCUUAUGCUAAAACUAGUAACAAGAAAUUGCAUUCUCCAAAAUAUAAGCAUAAACCAAAAUGGACGAACCAUUGGUAGUUAACACUAACUAAGUCUAAUAUAGUAACAACACAAGAAAACCCUAUAAUUCAUCUAUGUUAACCUUACACAAGAAUAUUUCUGGAAAGAUUAAAAGAAAGGGAAGGAACUCGGCAAAUUUUAACCCCGCCUGUUUACCAAAAACAUCGCCUCUUGAAAAACUAUAAGAGGUCUAGCCUGCCCAGUGAUAAAAUUAAACGGCCGCGGUACCCUGACCGUGCGAAGGUAGCAUAAUCACUUGUUCUCUAAAUAAGGACUCGUAUCAACGGCAUCACGAGGGUUACACUGUCUCCCCCUUCUAAUCAGUGAAACUGACUUUCCCGUGAAGAGGCGGGAAUUAUUCUACAAGACGAGAAGACCCCAUGGAGCUUUAAACCCAAAGGCAACCUUUAUAUUCUUUACUUAAAAAUUCUUAGGCUACUGCCUAUUGGUUUUAGGUUGGGGUGACCGCGGAGUAAAACUUAACCUCCACGCCGAAUAGACCUUCAUCUUAAUCUCAGAGCUACCGCUCCAAGAAUCAAAAAUUUGACGCAGCCUGAUCCGAUUUCUCGAUCAACGAACCAAGUUACCCUGGGGAUAACAGCGCAAUCCAUUUUAAGAGCCCCUAUCGACAAAUGGGUUUACGACCUCGAUGUUGGAUCAGGGUAUCCCAGUGGUGCAGCCGCUACUAAAGGUUUGUUUGUUCAACAAUUAAAACCCU
RNAcentral lists this ribosomal RNA (1146 nucleotides) under Limnonectes gyldenstolpei. RNAcentral describes it as "partial 16S ribosomal RNA". It matches the Rfam family "Bacterial large subunit ribosomal RNA", at positions 756 to 2597 of the family's 2925-position model. The record is from RNAcentral. Lineage: Eukaryota; Metazoa; Chordata; Amphibia; Anura; Dicroglossidae.